This is a non-coding RNA of Marmota monax (woodchuck), 597 nucleotides long. Lineage: Eukaryota; Metazoa; Chordata; Mammalia; Rodentia; Sciuridae. The record is from the annotation of a RefSeq genome assembly.
CAGGAACAGAAGGCAGAGCUCAAAAUGACCUUCACCAUGGCCUGGUCCUGUCUCCUCUUCACAUUCUUUGUUCAGUGCACAGUGACCUGGGCCCAGUCUGUGCUGACUCAGCAGCCCUCACUUUCUGGGACUCCAGGAGAGAUGGUCACCAUCUCCUGCACUGGAAGUAGCAACAAUAUUGGUUACAGUUUUGUGAACUGGUAUCAGCAGUUCCCAGCAACAGCCCCUAAACUCCUCAUCUAUGAUGACAGUGAUCGACCCUCAGGGAUUCCUGAUCGCCUCUCUGGCUCCAAGUCUGGCAACUCUGGUUCACUGACCAUCACUGGGCUCCAGCCUGAUGAUGAGGUCAACUAUUUCUGUCAGUCUUAUGACAGUAGCCUCAAUGCUCCCACAGUGCUCCAGGUUCAUGGGGAAGUGAGACAAAAACCCCUUUACCAUAUGUCAGAAGGGCCAAUGCCCAGCAUCUUUGCUUGGGCCUGGCCUCUGGCUUUUUCUGCUACCACUAACAUAGGCCCAAAUGAAUAUCCUGGCACUUUCUUUGAGUGUGGAGCCUCUUUUUAUGUGUUUUCAGAGUCACUCACAGCAGGAUGUUCCUAG